ACGUGACAAGCUAAGGCAGGGUGUUUUCAGAGAGCGGAGGGAGUUAGGGGAAACGUGGCGCAGCGGCUUUGGGGGCGGAGGAGUAGGAGGCGUGCGGAGGUUCGGUUCGGUUCGGUUCCGGCAGCCAGAAGCGGCGGAGGAGGCUGCCGGGGGAGGAGACGGACAAGGAGUGCGGGAACUUCGCGGCCGGACUACGCUAAGGCAGGGAGCGACAUUAGUUCGGGAUCGGGCGAAGCUAAUAGCCGAGAGGCACCCGUUAGCUCUUAAGGCGGCCUAUAAAGAAGAGGUUAUUAGAUGGGUUCCAUAGCAAAGGUCCUCGGGACGGGGGUCUCAUCGGUUCUCCGGCCGCAGUCCCCGACUAAACGACGAUGAAAACUCCUCAACCCUGGGACAGCCACCGGGCAGCCGACGUCCCAGAACCAAGCACCUCAAGAAAAGUCCCGAAAAGAACCCCCAGUACCCUCGAAAGACGAGCACAAACGUUCGGCUAAUGAGGCUGGUGGUACCGUUGCUCUGAAGACCACGCAAAUCCUUGACGUACACGGAGUCCACAAAAUGGGUCGUCGACUAGUUACGAAUGUGACAAAAUAAGGCUCAACCUUGCCAGGUGAGACAAAGAGUUCGAUAUCUUCGGUGGGGUGAACUAAGUAGACUUUCAAGUAAGCUAUGUAUAGCAAGUGGAGGUUCUGGUGACGGUAUACUACUAGGAUCUAAGAGGGGAGGAGACGCGCUGACCAAACGUAGUUCCGUACUAGGAAGUUCGGUAAGUGGUCUCCUUAGUCUUGGUGAGUCUGGUUUAAUACUACGCCUCUACCUUUGCUACUCAAGUCAGCUGUUCGGUUCAUUUUGUUUGAUACUGUGUUUUUACUUUUCUUCGUCGAGACGAAUGCCUCUAUUCAACAGGGCUUUCCUUAGACCUUUAAUAAAGUGGAUGAAAAGAGGUAGAUGACUUCUACUUCUACAGACGGGUUGUACAGAACUUCUAAUAUGAAGCCUCUUAGGAUCCUAUCAUUACGUCACGAGUGUAGUGAAGGUGGAACCGACAUAGAUACUCACCUACCUUUCUUCACUCCGUACGGGACAAACACCUUUCUUUUACCUCAAGUUGCUCUGCUGAAUCUGGAGUCUGACCUGAUUCACAGAACUUAAUUGUAGAGUAUACCCUUGGACUUUUAUAUUCAUGGAUCAGGACGUUUAUGAGACAUUUAUGUGGAAACAUUCAUAACUUAGUCGUCGCACGACAUAAAUCAUAUGACCUUAAGAACUAUACAACCUUGCCACGUAUAUUUGUAAAGAAAGAAAAUAAAAAGAAAAUUUACCGGCCGUCCCCUUUGAACAAGGGGAACCAAACACGGAGUCGCGACAACGCUGUACAAAACUAAGAGUUCACUAUCAGUGACCCUCGGACAUUCGACUACUAUAAACAAUUAUAUUAUUAGUAUACUUAGGGUACCAAGACAC
Molecule: ribosomal RNA, 1461 nt
Filed under: Triticum aestivum (bread wheat)
Lineage: Eukaryota; Viridiplantae; Streptophyta; Magnoliopsida; Poales; Poaceae
Description: partial small subunit ribosomal RNA
Source: RNAcentral